This 783-nucleotide ribosomal RNA is filed under the name uncultured Neocallimastigales. Its description in RNAcentral is "partial large subunit ribosomal RNA". It matches the Rfam family "Eukaryotic large subunit ribosomal RNA", at positions 22 to 645 of the family's 3401-position model. Lineage: Eukaryota; Fungi; Neocallimastigomycota; Neocallimastigomycetes; Neocallimastigales. The record is from RNAcentral.
UAGAUGCGAGAGUAGAGCAUAUCAAUAAGCGGAGGAAAAGAAACUAACUAGGAUUCCCUUAGUAACGGCGAGUGAAGCGGGAAGAGCUCAAAUUUGAAAUCUUCAAGGUUUUACCUUGACGAAUUGUAGUUUAAAGAAGUGUUUUUCUGUUGGAGUUUUGGUAAAAGUUCUUUGGAAUAGGACAUCAUAGAGGGUGAGAAUCCCGUAUUUGGUACCAUUCCUCCUAACGUUUGUGAUACACUUUCAACGAGUCGGAUUGUUUGGGAAUGCAGUCCAAAAUGGGUGGUAAAUUUCAUCUAAAGCUAAAUAUUGGCGAGAGACCGAUAGCGAACAAGUACCGUGAGGGAGAGAUGAGAAAGAACUUUGAAAAGAGAGGUUAAACAGUACGUGAAAUUGUCAAAAGGGAAGCGUUUGACACCAGUGUUGUUUUUCUCGAAAAUCAAUUAAUGAAUGGCUUGGAUUUUAAGUUUCAUGACCUUAAAAGCUUGUUUCUUAUUUUUUCAUGUCUUUCGUAAUGCACUUUUCGGUUAACAAGUCAACAUCAAUUUCUUUUGUUGUAAAAGGUUAAGAGGAAGGUGGCUUUACUUUCGGGUAAAGUGUUUAUAGCCUUUUAACUCUGCAAUCGGAGAGAUUGAGGUCUGCAGCGUAGAUCCUUCGGGGCUAGAUACGUUUGUGCUAAGUUAUAGCUUUUCAUAGACAACUUGUUGACUAUGUUUAGUCUUGUAGCUUACUCGCAUGCGCUAUUUUACCUACGCUUAGGAUGUUGACGAGACUGUCGAUCUC